Molecule: ribosomal RNA, 426 nt
Filed under: uncultured Azovibrio sp.
Lineage: Bacteria; Pseudomonadati; Pseudomonadota; Betaproteobacteria; Rhodocyclales; Rhodocyclaceae
Description: bacterial SSU rRNA
Rfam family: Bacterial small subunit ribosomal RNA
Source: RNAcentral
GGGGAAUUUUGGACAAUGGGGGCAACCCUGAUCCAGCCAUGCCGCGUGAGUGAAGAAGGCCUUCGGGUUGUAAAGCUCUUUCGGCCGGGAAGAAAUCGUGCAGGCUAAUACCCUGUAUGGAUGACGGUACCGGAAUAAGAAGUACCGGCUAACUACGUUCCAGCAGCCGCGGUAAUACGUAGGGUGCGAGCGUUAAUCGGAAUUACUGGGCGUAAAGCGUGCGCAGGCGGUUUUGUAAGACAGGCGUGAAAUCCCCGGGCUCAACCUGGGAACUGCGCUUGUGACUGCAAGACUAGAGUACGGCAGAGGGGGGUAGAAUUCCAGGUGUAGCGGUGAAAUGCGUAGAGAUCUGGAGGAAUACCGGUGGCGAAGGCAGCCCCCUGGGCCUGUACUGACGCUCAUGCACGAAAGCGUGGGGAGCAAACA